Molecule: non-coding RNA, 73 nt
Organism: Ornithorhynchus anatinus (platypus)
Lineage: Eukaryota; Metazoa; Chordata; Mammalia; Monotremata; Ornithorhynchidae
Source: the annotation of a RefSeq genome assembly
GCCGAAAUAGCUCAGUUGGGAGAGUGUUAAACUGAACAUCUAAAGGUUCUUGGUUUGAUUCCUGGUUUUGGCA